Molecule: long non-coding RNA, 477 nt
Filed under: Carica papaya (papaya)
Lineage: Eukaryota; Viridiplantae; Streptophyta; Magnoliopsida; Brassicales; Caricaceae
Description: long non-coding RNA (CPAP_LNC008672)
Source: RNAcentral
GUUACAAUAAAUUUUUAUCUGCUACAAGGCUGUGCAGAUUGCAGGUUUUUGUCCUAUGCAGGUUGCAGGUGCAGGUUGAGGAUUUUGUGCUGUUCCCUUGGCUGUUUCUUGUCCUAUUCAGGUUGCAGAUUUUUGUCCUAUGCAGGUUGCCGUUGCAGGUUGAGGAUUUUGUGCUUGCUGGUGUUCUGUUCUGCAGGAUUAUGUGAUGUGGUGUUCUCUUGGUUGUUUCUUGACAGCUGAUCACAGCAUUAUUCUUGACACCCACCAUCUGAGGUUGUUGCAUUUUCCCCUUCAAGUAUCCUCUGAAAAUUUGUUGGAUAAGAUCCUAGUAUACAUUCAGAUGAUAUAAGUCAAAAGGACAUGUAACCAGCCAUGAAAACAAAUCUAAAUAAUUAUUAUGAAAUUUCUCUCUUUUCUCUGUUGCUGCAACUGUCAUUCCUUGACAGGAAGGUUGAAGAGUUUUAGGGAAGCCUCAAG